Molecule: long non-coding RNA, 513 nt
Filed under: Phoenix dactylifera (date palm)
Lineage: Eukaryota; Viridiplantae; Streptophyta; Magnoliopsida; Arecales; Arecaceae
Description: long non-coding RNA (PDAC_LNC022829)
Source: RNAcentral
UAUAUAUAUAUAUAUAUAUAUGCUGACUUCAUGUUUUUUUAAAUAUUUAAUUAGAUGUGUUUUUGAUACUUCUUUUCUUUGAAUAAAUUCUUUGGUUAGGAGCUCCGUUCCAGCUUGAAAUCAAGCAUCGAUAAUUAAUUUGUUCUGCAGACACCACCAUCAAGAACGAAAUAAGUGGAAGGAAGGAAGGACAUCCAUUCCAACGGUCAAAAUACAUUUGCUUUCAAGAGGAAAACAAUGAGGCAGAACAUCUCGAUAAAUUGCACCACGACACACUGGUGUUCAUAAAAAUAGAAGGAGAGCAUGGCAUCAGUGACUUAGGCAUCCUUUUAUGUCGCGUCACCUAUCAGUCAAGCAAAUCUCUUCUACGCGUACGUGAGCCACUGGGCACCUGCAUCCAGGACCAUCAUUUUAGUUAGUUACUGAUAAAAACAAACCGUAAUGCAAUUCAGAAGCACAUAAUUGCUACCCCACUGGAGAGAGAGAGAGAGAGAGAGAGAGAGAGAGAGAGAU